GACUUACGGCGUAGUCGCAGAUUA
This 24-nucleotide non-coding RNA is filed under the name Arabidopsis thaliana (thale cress). Lineage: Eukaryota; Viridiplantae; Streptophyta; Magnoliopsida; Brassicales; Brassicaceae. The record is from RNAcentral.